UCCCCAAUGAUGUCAGUCUAGAGCAGCCCCUUCAGAACAAUUGCAGUAAUGACACAAGGGAUCACGGUCAUGUCAGGUCUGCCAGAAUAGAUUUUUUAAUUGCUGUUUGUGGUUUUUUUUUUGUCACCCGCUUUGUAGACACAUUUAAUUACAGAUGCAACUUAAGUCAUUUAUAUGUCUUUCUGACUGACAGAUAUAUUGGUUUAUGUCCUAGCUGCAAAAUUAUGCCCACAGGUAUGUGCAGCUGUUGUUCUGAGCCAGCGGAAGGAAUGCAUAGGUAUGGCACUUCAGCAACUUUAUCUCUUCUCUCUAGAAUGCCAAAGAAAAAGAAACACAUUUUCAAAAAAUUCAGUUGAUCUUAAUAAGUUUACCACUGUUUGUUACCCAUACUGUUUGUGAGACAACACUGAAAUGUGGAUGAGGCAAGCACCAAUGUAAGCAAUGCUGUUUUCUAAACCAGUGUGAUGCCUCAGGUGCAGAAGAGAGAGACAAUAAUUAACAAUGUGGCCUACAGCAUCUUGGGGAACAAUUAAUUUUAGUGAAUGGACAGGGGGAGGAAGAGAGAAGCUGUCAGGAAGGAGUUCCUAUAGGAUCUCCUCUGACGUGUCUAGCUGGCAAAUAGCCAUAUCCAACUGCAGGACCCAUGUGCCAUGUGAGUACAGCUGGAGAGAUGGGGAUGUGCUGCUGAGCUUUUGGACUGUCUGUGUAAUCUCCAGGUAGGAAUCCAGCAGAAAUGCUGAGGGAGGAACACCACCACACUUGACUUCUUUACUUCUUUUUCACAUCCCUCUGUCCCUUCCUCUUCACACACUGGUACCCAUGCUAAAUGAAGAGACUAUUUGAAGCAGCAGAAGAAACUUGCUAUGUUGUUUCUGAGAGUGAGAUAUCACAGAUGUGACUGCUUGGUUCUGUGUGAAGCAUGGGAAAAUGAGGUAUUUCAAGACUGGUUCAUCUGAAAAGUGCAUGGUCAUAUUUGGAAAAUGGCUGUGCUAGUAACAGGCAUCUGAAACCUUAAUUAUGAGCCCAAAUAAGGUGGUUUAUAAACCUUUGACUUUAUUCUAGAAUUUUGUAAUAUCACAAGUAUGUUUGCAGUAGAGAGGAAACAACAUGCCCCACUGGAAAGCUAGCAGUGCAUUUAUCCCUUCAGGGAACAAACUCAUUUGCCCUUUCCCUUUUAUGUCUGCUUAUUCAAACAAUUAAAUAAACUUUAAAAAAUAAAAGCA
RNAcentral lists this long non-coding RNA (1223 nucleotides) under Cyanistes caeruleus (blue tit). Its description in RNAcentral is "lncRNA (ENSCCEG00000010447.1)". The record is from RNAcentral. Lineage: Eukaryota; Metazoa; Chordata; Aves; Passeriformes; Paridae.